GGGCCUUGUUGAUGACAAUUAUACCAUCAAACCAUGAAAGCUCAAAAAUAAGCUUGAAGAUCUUUAAUUCUUAACUCUCUGAGCCC
This is a small nucleolar RNA of Hevea brasiliensis (rubber tree), 86 nucleotides long. RefSeq annotates it as small nucleolar RNA snoR116. The record is from RefSeq and is a predicted model, not a curated record. The transcript has a single exon. NCBI's taxonomy places the organism in Eukaryota, Viridiplantae, Streptophyta, Magnoliopsida, Malpighiales, Euphorbiaceae.